GUAGGGUGCGAGCGUUAAUCGGAAUUACCUGGGGGUAAAGUGUGCGCAGGCGGCCGAGCAAGUAGAGUGUGAAAGCCCCGGCCUUACCCCGGGCAGUGCGUUUGAAACUGCUUGUCUUGAGUGUGGCAGAGGGAGGUGGAAUUCCUGGUGUAGCGGUGAAAUGCGUAGAGAUCUGUAGGAACACCGAUGGCGAAGGCAGCCUCUUGGGCCAGCACUGACGCUCAGGCGCGAAAGCGUGGGGAGCAAACAGGAUUAGAUACCCCGGUAGUCCCCGCCGUAAACGAUGGCGACUAGUUUCGGAGGAGUGAAAUCCUUUAGUAACGCAGCUAACGCGUGAAGUAUUCCGCCUGGGGAGUACGGUCGCAAGAUUA
This 371-nucleotide ribosomal RNA is filed under the name uncultured bacterium. RNAcentral describes it as "bacterial SSU rRNA". It matches the Rfam family "Bacterial small subunit ribosomal RNA", at positions 527 to 896 of the family's 1533-position model. The record is from RNAcentral.